AUUGAACGCUGGCGGCAGGCCUAACUCAUGCAAGUCGAACGAGUGGCGGACGGGUGAGUAAUGUCUGGCAAUCUGCCCGAUGGAGGGGGCUAACUACUGGAAACGGUAGCUAAUACCGCAUACCAUCGGAUGUGCCCAGAUGGGAUUAGCUAGUAGGUUGGGUAACGGCUCACCUAGGCGACGAUCCCUAGCUGGUCUGAGAGGAUGACGAGGGACACGGGAACUGAGACACGGUGCAGAGGAGGACGGGAGGCAGGAGGGGGGAAGAGUGCAGAAUGGGGGCAAGGCUGAUAGAGGCAUGCCGCGUGUAUGAAGAAGGCAGUGGGGGUGGAAAGUACUUGCAGCGAGGAGGCGGUACUCGGAGAAGAAGCACCGGGUAACUCCGUGCCAGCCGCCGCGGUAAUUC
RNAcentral lists this ribosomal RNA (406 nucleotides) under uncultured bacterium. RNAcentral's name for it is "partial 16S ribosomal RNA". It matches the Rfam family "Bacterial small subunit ribosomal RNA", at positions 29 to 526 of the family's 1533-position model. The record is from RNAcentral.